UGGGGAAUUUUGGACAAUGGGCGAAAGCCUGAUCCAGCAAUGCCGCGUGUGUGAAGAAGGCCUUCGGGUUGUAAAGCACUUUUGUCCGGAAAGAAAUGGCUCUGGUUAAUACCUGGGGCCGAUGACGGUACCGGAAGAAUAAGGACCGGCUAACUACGUGCCAGCAGCCGCGGUAAUACGUAGGGUCCAAGCGUUAAUCGGAAUUACUGGGCGUAAAGCGUGCGCAGGCGGUUGUGCAAGACCGAUGUGAAAUCCCCGAGCUUAACUUGGGAAUUGCAUUGGUGACUGCACGGCUAGAGUGUGUCAGAGGGGGGUAGAAUUCCACGUGUAGCAGUGAAAUGCGUAGAGAUGUGGAGGAAUACCGAUGGCGAAGGCAGCCCCCUGGGAUAACACUGACGCUCAUGCACGAAAGCGUGGGGAGCAAACAGG
RNAcentral lists this ribosomal RNA (429 nucleotides) under Bacillota bacterium. RNAcentral describes it as "Firmicutes bacterium partial 16S ribosomal RNA". It matches the Rfam family "Bacterial small subunit ribosomal RNA", at positions 355 to 776 of the family's 1533-position model. RNAcentral also lists the same sequence under 1 other name. The record is from RNAcentral. Lineage: Bacteria; Bacillati; Bacillota.